AUUGAACGCUGGCGGCAGGCCUAACACAUGCAAGUCGAGCGGAUGAAGGGAGCUUGCUCCUGGAUUCAGCGGCGGACGGGUGAGUAAUGCCUAGGAAUCUGCCUGGUAGUGGGGGAUAACGUCCGGAAACGGGCGCUAAUACCGCAUACGUCCUGAGGGAGAAAGUGGGGGAUCUUCGGACCUCACGCUAUCAAAUGAGCCUAGGUCGGAUUAGCUAGUUGGUGGGGUAAAGGCCUACCAAGGCGACGAUCCGUAACUGGUCUGAGAGGAUGAUCAGUCACACUGGAACUGAGACACGGUCCAGACUCCUACGGGAGGCAGCAGUGGGGAAUAUUGGACAAUGGGCGAAAGCCUGAUCCAGCCAUGCCGCGUGUGUGAAGAAGGUCUUCGGAUUGUAAAGCACUUUAAGUUGGGAGGAAGGGCAGUAAGUUAAUACCUUACUGUUUUGACGUUACCAACAGAAUAAGCACCGGCUAACUUCGUG
RNAcentral lists this ribosomal RNA (484 nucleotides) under uncultured bacterium. RNAcentral's name for it is "partial 16S ribosomal RNA". It matches the Rfam family "Bacterial small subunit ribosomal RNA", at positions 30 to 507 of the family's 1533-position model. The record is from RNAcentral.